CAGUAGCCGCGGGAAUACAGAGGGUGCAAGCGUUAAUCGGAAUUACUGGGCGUAAAGCGCGCGUAGGUGGUUUGUUAAGUUGGAUGUGAAAUCCCCGGGCUCAACCUGGGAACUGCAUCCAAAACUGGCAGGCUAGAGUAGGGCAGAGGGUGGUGGAAUUUCCUGUGUAGCGGUGAAAUGCGUAGAUAUAGGAAGGAACACCAGUGGCGAAGGCGACCACCUGGGCUCAUACUGACACUGAGGUGCGAAAGCGUGGGGAGCAAACAGGAUUAGAUACCCCCGUAGUCCCUGUCUCUUAUAA
This 301-nucleotide ribosomal RNA is filed under the name uncultured bacterium. RNAcentral's name for it is "partial 16S ribosomal RNA". It matches the Rfam family "Bacterial small subunit ribosomal RNA", at positions 509 to 809 of the family's 1533-position model. The record is from RNAcentral.